UACGAAGGGGGCUAGCGUUGCUCGGAAUCACUGGGCGGAAAGGGUGCGUAGGCGGGUCUUUAAGUCAGGGGUGAAAUCCUGGAGCUCAACUCCAGAACUGCCUUUGAUACUGAGGAUCUUGAGUUCGGGAGAGGUGAGUGGAACUGCGAGUGUAGAGGUGAAAUUCGUAGAUAUUCGCAAGAACACCAGUGGCGAAGGCGGCUCACUGGCCCGGUACUGACGCUGAGGUGCGAAAGCGUGGGGAGCAAACAGG
Molecule: ribosomal RNA, 253 nt
Filed under: uncultured bacterium
Lineage: Bacteria
Description: partial 16S ribosomal RNA
Rfam family: Bacterial small subunit ribosomal RNA
Source: RNAcentral